UGGAUCCAGACUUUGAUCAUGGCUCAGGAUGAACGCUAGCUACAGGCUUAACACAUGCAAGUCGAGGGGAAACGACAUCGAAAGCUUGCUUUUGAUGGGCGUCGACCGGCGCACGGGUGAGUAACGCGUAUCCAACCUGCCCAUCACUUGGGGAUAACCUUGCGAAAGUAAGACUAAUACCCAAUGACAUCCCACGAAGGCAUCUGAAUGGGAUUAAAGAUUUAUCGGUGAUGGAUGGGGAUGCGUCUGAUUAGCUUGUUGGCGGGGUAACGGCCCACCAAGGCAACGAUCAGUAGGGGUUCUGAGAGGAAGGUCCCCCACAUUGGAACUGAGACACGGUCCAAACUCCUACGGGAGGCAGCAGUGAGGAAUAUUGGUCAAUGGGCGAGAGCCUGAACCAGCCAAGUAGCGUGCAGGAUGACGGCCCUAUGGGUUGUAAACUGCUUUUAUAAGGGAAUAAAGUGAGUCUCGUGAGACUUUUUGCAUGUACCUUAUGAAUAAGGACCGGCUAAUUCCGUGCCAGCAGCCGCGGUAAUACGGAAGGUCCGGGCGUUAUCCGGAUUUAUUGGGUUUAAAGGGAGCGUAGGCCGGAGAUUAAGCGUGUUGUGAAAUGUAGUGGCUCAACCUCUGCACUGCAGCGCGAACUGGUCUUCUUGAGUACGCACAACGUGGGCGGAAUUCGUGGUGUAGCGGUGAAAUGCUUAGAUAUCACGAAGAACUCCGAUUGCGAAGGCAGCUCACGGGAGCGCAACUGACGCUGAAGCUCGAAAGUGCGGGUAUCGAACAGGAUUAGAUACCCUGGUAGUCCGCACGGUAAACGAUGGAUGCCCGCUGUUGGCCUGAAUAGGUCAGCGGCCAAGCGAAAGCAUUAAGCAUCCCACCUGGGGAGUACGCCGGCAACGGUGCAACUCAAAGGAAUUGACGGA
This 926-nucleotide ribosomal RNA is filed under the name uncultured bacterium. RNAcentral's name for it is "bacterial SSU rRNA". It matches the Rfam family "Bacterial small subunit ribosomal RNA", at positions 1 to 917 of the family's 1533-position model. The record is from RNAcentral. RNAcentral also lists the same sequence under 1 other name.